Molecule: ribosomal RNA, 253 nt
Filed under: uncultured bacterium
Lineage: Bacteria
Description: partial 16S ribosomal RNA
Rfam family: Bacterial small subunit ribosomal RNA
Source: RNAcentral
GACGUAGGGGGCAAGCGUUGUUCGGAAUUAUUGGGCGUAAAGCGCUCGUAGGCGGGAUUGGAAGUCCGUGUUGAAAGACCUCGGCUCAACUGAGGGACCGGCUCGGAUACUCUAAUUCUUGAGGCAAUCAGAGGAUGAUGGAAUUCCCGGUGUAGCGGUGAAAUGCGCAGAUAUCGGGAAGAACACCCGUGGCGAAGGCGGCACUCUGGGACGGUACUGACGCUGAGACGCGAAAGCGUGGGGAGCGAACAGG